GAUGAACGCUGGCGGCGUGCCUAACACAUGCAAGUCGAACGAAGCGCCUUUUAAGAUUCUUCGGAUGAUUGAUCGGUGACUGAGUGGCGGACGGGUGAGUAACGCGUGGGUAACCUGCCCUGUACAGGGGGAUAACAGUUGGAAACAGCUGCUAAUACCGCAUAAGCGCACGAGAGGACAUCCUCUUGUGUGAAAAACUCCGGUGGUACAGGAUGGGCCCGCGUCUGAUUAGCUGGUUGGCAGGGUAACGGCCUACCAAGGCGACGAUCAGUAGCCGGUCUGAGAGGAUGAACGGCCACAUUGGAACUGAGACACGGUCCAAACUCCUACGGGAGGCAGCAGUGGGGAAUAUUGCACAAUGGGGGAAACCUUGAUGCAGCAACGCCGCGUGAGUGAAGAAGUAUUUCGGUAUGUAAAGCUCUAUCAGCAGGGAAGAUAAUGACGGUACCUGACUAAGAAGCUCCGGCUAAAUACGUGCCAGCCGCCGCAGUAA
Molecule: ribosomal RNA, 493 nt
Filed under: uncultured bacterium
Lineage: Bacteria
Description: partial 16S ribosomal RNA
Rfam family: Bacterial small subunit ribosomal RNA
Source: RNAcentral